AGUGGCAAACGGCUGAGUAACGCGUAGGAACCUACCCCAAACUCGAGUAUAGCCCCGCGAAAGCGGGGGUAAUCCUCGAUAGCCCGUGAAGUAUUUUACUUCACGGUAAAGCUUUUGCGGUUUGGGAUGGGCCUGCGUCCUAUCAGGUAGUUGGUGAGGUGAAUGCUCACCAAGCCUAUGACGGGUAGCUGGUCUGAGAGGAUGGUCAGCCAGACUGGGACUGCGACACGGCCCAGACUCCUACGGGAGGCAGCAACUAGGAAUUGUGCGCAAUGGACGAAAGUCUGACGCCGCGACAUCGCGUGGAGGAUGAAGGUCUUCGGAUUGUAAACUCCUUUUCUUACCGAACAAGUUCUGAGUGUAGGUAAGGAAUAAGUGCCUGCUAACCACGUGCCAGAAGCAUCGGUAAUACGUGGGGCACGAGCGUUAUCCGGAUUUACUGGGCGUAAAGAGAAGCGUAGGCGGCUCAAUAAGUUUGGUGUUAAAUCUUCCGGCUCAACCGGAAACAAGCACCGAAAACUAUCGAGAUUGAGUCGAGUAGGGAAGAGGGGAAUUCCUGGUGGAGCGGUUAAAUGCGUAGAUAUCAGGAGGAAUACCAAGGGCGAAGGCACCUCUUUGGACUCGUACUGACGCUGAGGCUCGAAAGCGUGGGUAGCAAAACGGAUUAGAUACCCGUGUAGUCCACGCCGUAAACGAUCCCUGUUAGAUGUAUGUUUUGUC
RNAcentral lists this ribosomal RNA (720 nucleotides) under uncultured organism. Its description in RNAcentral is "bacterial SSU rRNA". It matches the Rfam family "Bacterial small subunit ribosomal RNA", at positions 94 to 833 of the family's 1533-position model. The record is from RNAcentral.